This 500-nucleotide ribosomal RNA is filed under the name uncultured bacterium. Its description in RNAcentral is "partial 16S ribosomal RNA". It matches the Rfam family "Bacterial small subunit ribosomal RNA", at positions 30 to 523 of the family's 1533-position model. The record is from RNAcentral.
AUUGAACGCUGGCGGCAUGCUUUACACAUGCGAGUCGAACGGUAACAGGGUGCUUGCACCGCUGACGAGUGGCGAACGGGUGAGUAAUGCGUCGGAACGUGCCGAGUAGUGGGGGAUAACGCAGCGAAAGUUGUGCUAAUACCGCAUACGUACUGAGGUAGAAAGUGGGGGACCUUCGGGCCUUCCGCUAUUCGAGCGGCCGAAGUCUGAUUAGCUAGUAGGUGAGGUUAAGGCUCACCUAGGCGACGAUAAGUAGCGGGUCUGAGAGGAUGAUCCGCCACACUGGGACUGAGACACGGCCCAGACUCCUACGGGAGGCAGCAGUGGGGAAUUUUGGACAAUGGGCGAAAGCCUGAUCCAGCCAUGCCGCGUGUCUGAAGAAGGCCUUCGGGUUGUAAAGGACUUUUGUCAGGGAGGAAAUCCCUAGUGCUAAUAACACUGGGGGAUGACAGUACCUGAAGAAUAAGCACCGGCUAACUACGUGCCAGCCGCCGCAGUAA